This is a long non-coding RNA of Homo sapiens (human), 4540 nucleotides long. Ensembl annotates it as LMCD1 antisense RNA 1. Its record names the gene LMCD1-AS1. The record is from Ensembl. Lineage: Eukaryota; Metazoa; Chordata; Mammalia; Primates; Hominidae.
GAGCGGAGCUGAGCGCCGGCUGCCCUGACGUCAGCAUGGCCGCGGCCCCUGACUACCCAGCUCCCUUCUAUCCCUCGAGCGGCAGGAAUCCGUCCCCACGCCCUUUUCCUUUAAAGGGCAACGGGCCGAAGGUGGGGCGGGCGGCGCGGCUCCCGCGAUCCAUUCAGGUCAAAAGGGAGAGUGAUCAAACAGGAGAGCCGAGGGGACCUAUAUUCAGAGACUUAACCGGACACCUGGACAGACCAUUACAACUUGGGACUUUUCAGGAGAAUGAGGGAAAUGUAGUUAUUGCACCUGAGCCUCACUCCAGCUCUGAGGUCCUCUUCACUUCUCUUUGGAAGAAAAUUGGAUAUCUUUUCCUAGUUGAAAGAGUAGAGAUCUGAUUUCUCCAAGGAUCAUCGCUUUUUGACACGGGAUUAUUAGAAGCAUUCAUUCAUCUAUCAAGGAGUUUUGGGAUACUUGCCAUAAGCCAAGCCCUCUGAUAGGUGCUGGAAACAUCAAGCUCUGUGCCCAGGAAGUUCAUCCUUGGACUGCACGCAUGAACGAGUUUGCUGUCUUCCCAUUGGAUUCAGCCAGUCCGCGGUCCUGGAAGAAGAAAUACUUUCCCAGACAAAUAAAAGCUGAGGAAUAUCAUCAACAUCAGACCUGUCUUACAAAAAAUGCUAAAGGGAGUUCUUCAAUCCAAAAGAAAAAGAUGUUAAUGAGCAAAAAUAAAUCAUCUGAAGGUGCAAAACUUGCUGGUAAUUGCUGCCUGAGCAAUUGUGUCUGGUUCGUGAAGUGACUUCCCAUUUUCAUCCAAUUGGCCCUGAUCUCACAUCCCAAGCCCAUGGAUCAUACCACAUUGUUCUUUCUGCAAAACAGUUGAGAAUUACCAGUAAUUGGGACUGUUUACAUUCAAUGCCAUCAUGACAGAAGCAGCUUUAUUAUAUUGCAGAGGAAUGAUUAAUACAUGAUGGGGAUUAAAGAUUGCACUGCAGCAGGCCAAGGCAAGAGGCAAUAAAGAUUAAUAAUUUUAGAUUUCCACUGUAGCAAGAACGGGAAAAAAGCGUCAUCUGAAAUGCCAACUUCAAGCAAUUGCAGUGAUUUCCUGGAACCCUACGUGACAAGUCCAGAUUCAGUGGGAAAGACUGUGAGGAUCCGUUAGCAAUGUUUACGAUGGGCAAGUCUUGUGAUGGGGUUACCCUCCUUGCAUUAGAAUUUGCAGUCUUCUAUUAGGCCAUUAGUCUUUGAGAGCAAAAACUGUAUGUAUCUCAUUUUUGUAGCCCCAGUGCCAGGCACACAGUAGCUGCUCCAAAAGCAAAGGACAUCGAGUCUGAAUCAAGCUGCUUGGGUUUAAUGGCUGUCUUUGUCGCUUACUAGCUGAGUGGACUCGUCAUAUUUAUAACUUAAUUGUGGUUCAGUUUCCUUCUCUACAGAAAAGGCAUGAGUUCCUCAUUCAUAGAGUUAUAAUAAGGGUUAAAUAAAGUCAUGCAUAUCCAAAGCUUAGCAUAGUACCUGAGACAUAGCAAAUACUUGAGGAAUGCAGGUAUAAAUUAACAUAGGAGUGAAUAACAUUGCAAGGAAACAGAGAAAAGGAUCCUAAACAGUCCUGCUGGUAUAUUCAUUUAUGAUUCAAAAAUCCUCAAUUGUUAAAAUUUGGGUCAGAACCUUAUUAUUCCAGGUUGUUGGUAAAUGUGAGGACCCUUCUGGGUUUGGAAGUAGAACAAUAAAUUGAGAGGCCAAAGAAGCUGCAAAUAAAAAUUGGCUUCUCUGGGAAAAUGAUUUUCACAUUUAUACCUACCUGCCUUUUGUCCUCCCAUGCAUUUCUCCAGAUGUGAUACCAAUGUGAUACAAUUGUUGUUUAUUCCUUCUCUGACAAUAGCAAGGUAGAGUGAGCCUUCCAGUGAGGGCUUAAAAUAUAGCUCCAGAGACAUUCACCACUACUUCCUGCCUCCAUGGUUACACAUUCCCUUUCACAAAUAAAACAUGGCCUCAUGCUUCAUGCUGAGCUUGCAUUUUACAUACAUCAUUUGGAUCUUCUCUGCAAACCUAUGAAGUGGGCAUGGUAAUCUUCCUUUACAAAUAGAGAAACUGAGGCCUAAGAUGGGGAGCAAUUUCCCUUUAAAAACCUUUUAUUGUCAAGGUCCAAAUGGCUGAUGAUUCAUGCCAUAGACAUCCCAAACCAGCUGGUAGGCAGAGCUCUUGGCAUUCCAAAUGGAAACGUGGAACAGACACAGAUCACCUGGCCACACAGACCUCAGCUCUAAAGACAGAUGACUACUUACCUGUUAAAGUUCCCUGUGCACUAUUUUUUAAAAUCUAGAGAUAGAUAAUAAAUAGGUUAAGUUACAUUUUAAAUUAGCCCAAGAGCAUUUGAGAACAGAAUCAUUUUUAGAAUCUUAAUUCUGAGAUUCACUGUUGGGCUUAAGUCACUGCUUCUGUGAUGGUUAGUUUUGGGUGUGAACUUGACUGUAUUAAGGGAUACUUACCUGGGAAAGCAUUAUUUACUCUCCAUGCUUCAGUAGAUACUGAGCCCUUCCCUUUUCUGCUGAAAGGGAAACCCAGGUGGCUUGGCGUUUGAUUAGAAUAAUUGGGCUGCCCCAGGUGUGUCCGUGAGGGUGCCUCUGAGGGAAACUGGGACUAAAUGAAGAAGAUCUGCCCUCCAUAUGGGCAGGCACUAUUCCAAUUGGCUGGGGGCCCCAGAUAGAACAAAAAGGCAGAUAAAGGGCAGUCUCCCUGGAGAAGAGACCUGCCUGUAGACAGACAUCAGAACUCCAGGUUCUCCAGCCUUUGGGCUCCAGGACUCACACCAAUGCGCCACCGGGCUCUCUGACCUUCAGCUUUGGACUGAGAAUUACACCAUAGAAUGCCCUGGUUCUGAGGCCUUCAAACUCAGACUGAGCCACGCUACAGGCUUUCCGGAUUGUCCAGCAUACAGAAGGUCUGUUGUGGGAUUUCUCAGCCUCCAUGAGUAAGUAAGAAAAUUGCCUCUAAUAAAUCCUUUUUCAUAUGUCUCUCUAGACAUCUGUAGGUUCUGUCUCUGGGGAGAACCCUAACUAAAACCCAUUCUUGAAGGUAACAUGCAUAAGAAUUGCCUGGGGCAGGGGGAUGGAGUCUUGCUAACAUGCACAUUGAUUCAGAAGAGGUAGGGCCUAGGAUUUUCUGUAGUUCUGAAACACUUCCAGGUGAUGUUGAUGCUGAUGGACAAGGAGCACACUAUCAGUUUUCAGUCAGGCUUCCACAAAGUGCUUUCUGCAGGUGUCUUGCAUCAGAAUAUGCAAACAUGAAGAGAGUCUGCUUUAGUUGGUUAGUGGGUCUCAGGUGGGUCUGGAGAGACCAGGGGAAGCUGCCUGUUUAAAAUGCAUUCAGGUGAUUCAGCUACAUAUUAACAAAGCAUUGUGACAUUAAUGAAAGUGUUUUCCAAACUUGCUCCAUCAUUAGAACCACCUGCUAGUUAAAAGGCACUGAUUUCCCAGGCUUUCCCCCUUACAGACUCAGUUUUAAAGAUCUGGCUUAUCUCAUUUUGAUCUAUGCAAUUCCUGAUAAUAGCUUAGUGAGGUUAUGGAACUUGUCCAAAAUCAAAAGUAGUGAAUAGUAGUCUCAGGUAUAUGUGUAGACUAAUGGAGAAGUGUCAGAGGAGAAGAAAUAGUAAAUGAGACACAAACAGGGAAUUAGAGACUUCAUCGAGAGACAUUUGCAUGAGUGGACCUAGAGUACUCAGUGCCACUGGGCUAGCUUUGGAGGACCAGCUCACCCAGCAGAGUUGGGCAGUGGCUCCUCCACAGUGUGCCUGGGCUUCAGGAAGGCAAGAAGCAGGACUUGUGUUCAGACUGGUGCAGGCUAAGCUUGAGACAAGACAGCCACAUGGACUCAUAACUGCAUGGAGAACUUCAGUGAAGGAACUUCUAGUCUGUACCAUACUGGUAACACCUGCCUUGUUUGUUUAUUUAUUUAUUUAUUUAUUUAUUUAUUUAUUUAUUUAUUUAUUUUUGGUAAAAAUAACCUGCACAAACAUAACGGGAAAUCAUGUUCUAAAAAUAUAACUUUCCUAGUAAUCCUCUACCCUUCCGUAUCAACUUAAGUCAAUUAUAAUCCUUUUCGUCCCCCAGUUUUUACACACACAAAUUUUCUAAUGUUGGCAAGACUGUUAUUUCAGAGAGGGGUGAGGCUUAUUAAAGGUAUCUUAAGGGUCUAAACUAGUAGCGAUAUAUAGAAGUUAGUGGAGGACAGAUUUCUGUGGACAGAGUAAGGGAGAAUGGUUUAAAAUACUCGCAUAAUAAUUAGACCAGAGAGAGCAAAAAUAUUUUAUCUUUUAUUGCUAGCCCCAAUCUAUUAUUGAGCAUCUAGGGAACUGUGUAGGGAAGUAUUCUAAGCUGAUACCUAAUCAGUGUUUUUAAAAGAUCUUGGUAGCCAAGUCUUUUGUGUAUUAUAUCUAGUAAGAAUUGUUUCACAGUUGUUUUCUAAUUGUACUCUGGGUGAAUAUGCGCUAGAGUCUGGGUGAAUGUGUAUCACUAUGCCUGGGGACUUGGUGAGGAGGAACCAGAAAUUCCUCCUUUGUUAU